RNAcentral lists this transfer RNA (67 nucleotides) under bovine gut metagenome. It matches the Rfam family "tRNA". Rfam says of the family: Transfer RNA (tRNA) molecules are approximately 80 nucleotides in length. Their secondary structure includes four short double-helical elements and three loops (D, anti-codon, and T loops). Further hydrogen bonds mediate the characteristic L-shaped molecular structure. tRNAs have two regions of fundamental functional importance: the anti-codon, which is responsible for specific mRNA codon recognition, and the 3' end, to which the tRNAs corresponding amino acid is attached (by aminoacyl-tRNA synthetases). tRNAs cope with the degeneracy of the genetic code in two manners: having more than one tRNA (with a specific anti-codon) for a particular amino acid; and 'wobble' base-pairing, i.e. permitting non-standard base-pairing at the 3rd anti-codon position. The record is from RNAcentral.
GGUGUAGCGCAGCUUGGUAGCGCGACUGGUUUGGGACCAGUAGGUCGCAGGUUCGAAUCCUGUCACC